UAUGAAACUUUGCCAUGAGGGGAA
This 24-nucleotide non-coding RNA is filed under the name Arabidopsis thaliana (thale cress). Lineage: Eukaryota; Viridiplantae; Streptophyta; Magnoliopsida; Brassicales; Brassicaceae. The record is from RNAcentral.